Non-coding RNA from Hypoxylon sp. FL1284, 181 nucleotides. The record is from the annotation of a GenBank genome assembly. NCBI's taxonomy places the organism in Eukaryota, Fungi, Ascomycota, Sordariomycetes, Xylariales, Hypoxylaceae.
GCUGGGAUGGUCUAGUGGUAAGAUUCCGGGAGAGCAUGCACUGGAUCCCCCAACCGCGGAUGUCGGGCACCGCAGACAGGUGCGGGUGCCAGCCACAGCGGGGAGAUUCAGUGCAUGCGAUGCAGUACUGUGCGCAGUAUCUUCACUGCCGGAGACGCCGGUUCGAUUCCGGCUCUCAGCA